CAUCAUAAGGUCGAGCUUCUCAAGCUCCUCUAGGUCCUUAAUCAUAGUCAAAUAGUGAUCAUGGAUCAACUAUCUCUCACACAUUUUGGAGUUGAAGAGUCUCUUUGAUACUUCAAAAUGUACAGUACGGCUCUGCUUACCAUACAACUCUUAUAGGUGAGUGAUCAUAGCCCUGACUAUUGGUAUGUGCUCAUGCUGGCUCUACAACUCAUUUAUCAUCAAAGCCAGUAUGUAG
This 235-nucleotide long non-coding RNA is filed under the name Elaeis guineensis (African oil palm). RNAcentral's name for it is "long non-coding RNA (EGUI_LNC042332)". The record is from RNAcentral. Lineage: Eukaryota; Viridiplantae; Streptophyta; Magnoliopsida; Arecales; Arecaceae.